This 310-nucleotide unclassified non-coding RNA is filed under the name Hevea brasiliensis (rubber tree). The record is from RNAcentral. Lineage: Eukaryota; Viridiplantae; Streptophyta; Magnoliopsida; Malpighiales; Euphorbiaceae.
AUUUCAAUUUUAGAUAAAAUUUAACCAAAUUUUCAAGAUUCGGUCAAUUGAUCCAAAAUUGAAAGAUUUGGAUUAAAACGUCAAAUGUUACAAAGGUUUGGAUUUAUUAAACCAAAACGCCUAUUUAAAAACAAAAUGACCAAAAUGUAAUAAAAGGAUAGUUUAUGAUUAAGAAUUAUACAUUGAGAAUGUGAAACCAUGGGCAGCUUUGUGAAAUGGUCAGUAGGGGAAAUGUCUCCAAUAGGGACAUGGGGCUUAUCUCUCAGUUUUGUGUUAAUCUAAAGUGACCCUUCUCUCUCUCUCUCUCUCU